Long non-coding RNA from Esox lucius (northern pike), 1249 nucleotides. RefSeq lists it as uncharacterized. The transcript has 3 exons. The record is from RefSeq and is a predicted model, not a curated record. NCBI's taxonomy places the organism in Eukaryota, Metazoa, Chordata, Actinopteri, Esociformes, Esocidae.
ACCAGUGGUGAACAGUGCUCCCGCAACUGCCACUGUGCAAUAGCAAAGAAUGUGAGCUCUGUAUCUGAAGGUCCCGUUAUUCAGGAGGCUUGUUGCAAUGGUGCUUCGGUGAGGAGUGUUACUGGUUGAGGUACUGUUCUGGUUUCAUUUUCAGGCUUAAUUUAUGGAUGAGGCAAAAAAGUGACGCAAUCUAGAAGCCAUUUUAUUAGGUACAAGGCAUUUCGUUUGGCAAGACUAGUUGUAGUUCGGGAUAACCUCAUGAAACACAAGAGUCCACGACAGAACAGAUGUCUCAUCAGUAGUUUGCCGCCAUAUAGCUUAGGGUGAAUUGAAACUUUCAAAAUAACUUGGUGCCAUACAUUUCGGAAGAUACAUGGAUGACGUGUACAACAUUUGCUUGUUUCCCAAGGGGACGCUACUGAGAAGCUGGCUCACCAAGUCCCGGCCCAGACUGCUUCUGCUCAUUGCGGGCUUGAAGAGGCCUCAGGUGACCCUCAUGCGGAGGAAAAGGAUGAAGCGCACAAAAGUAGCAAAGGCCACGUAAGCGUACCUGCAACCGAAUGCCACAUUUCACUUGAGGUCUUGGCAAAGAGGAUCUCCCCACCGGAGUUAGACAUGGAACACGAAGACAUGGAAGAACUACGUUUUCAAUCUCUGUCAAAGCAACGAACUAAAAGCCAAAGCACACAGAAAAGGGGUUCCGCGUUUUUUGUGAAAACAAGGGAUCGGCAACAGAGAUCUAGACCCCCAGAUUAAUCGAGAUCUUCUUCCACAUCCCCCAUUUGUACAUCUCUUCAAAUACACAUUUGUUAUGGUUCAUUAUAAUUCAAUGAGUGUGACUUGUACAUUAUUUUCAUUCAGUGGCAUACAUUUAGUUUGACUGACUAUCGCUGUGUUCUUGGGAUAGAUCUUUUCAAGUAAGAUAACUAUUUGUUUCACAUGAGCAAAUCUGUGUUUGGUUAAGUGAAUAACAAAACAGUGCCUUUUCAUUACUAGCAGAUGCAAGUACCCAGUAACCGGAGGCACAUUAGACAUGCAACCCUGUGCUAAGGAAAGAGUCAACAUUAAAAGUCUGACCCAUUCAUUUACCUUUCUGUAAAUACACCCAAGUGACUUUGAAGGGAAAUAAAAACAAAAGGUAAUGCAUUUAUAGGUCAACAAUUUACCAAUGGGUACCAACAAUGAGGCAACACUUCAUUGUGCUCAAAUCAUAACGUUGACAUUAUAGAAAAAUUAUGAUAAGCAAUAA